Molecule: long non-coding RNA, 129 nt
Organism: Amblyraja radiata (thorny skate)
Lineage: Eukaryota; Metazoa; Chordata; Chondrichthyes; Rajiformes; Rajidae
Exons: 3
Source: RefSeq, a predicted model, not a curated record
GCCUCCACGGCCAUCGGUGGCAAUGAAUUCCACGGAUUCACAAUCUUCUGGUUAAAGAAAUUCCUCCUCAUCUCUAUUUUUAAAAAGUGCGUCCUUUUACUCCGUGGCUGUGGCCUGUGGUACUAGACA